RNAcentral lists this ribosomal RNA (474 nucleotides) under uncultured bacterium. RNAcentral's name for it is "SSU rRNA". It matches the Rfam family "Bacterial small subunit ribosomal RNA", at positions 26 to 518 of the family's 1533-position model. The record is from RNAcentral.
AGGACGAACGCUGGCGGCGUGCUUAACACAUGCAAGUCGAGCGGAAAGGCCCUUCGGGGUACUCGAGCGGCGAACGGGUGAGUAACACGUGAGUAAUCUGCCCCUAGCUCUGGGAUAGCUCCGGGAAACCGGGAUUAAUACCGGAUACGACCACUUUAGACAUCUGUUGUGGUGGAAAGAAUUUUGGCUAGGGAUGAGCUCGCGGCCUAUCAGCUUGUUGGUGGGGUAACGGCCUACCAAGGCGACGACGGGUAGCCGGCCUGAGAGGGCGACCGGCCACACUGGGACUGAGACACGGCCCAGACUCCUACGGGAGGCAGCAGUGGGGAAUAUUGCGCAAUGGGCGAAAGCCUGACGCAGCGACGCCGCGUGGGGGAUGAAGGCCUUCGGGUUGUAAACCCCUUUCAGCAGGGACGAAGCGAAAGUGACGGUACCUGCAGAAGAAGCGCCGGCUAACUACGCGCCAGCAGCCGC